Molecule: transfer RNA, 75 nt
Filed under: Actinomycetota bacterium
Lineage: Bacteria; Bacillati; Actinomycetota
Description: tRNA-Met
Rfam family: tRNA
About the family: Transfer RNA (tRNA) molecules are approximately 80 nucleotides in length. Their secondary structure includes four short double-helical elements and three loops (D, anti-codon, and T loops).
Source: RNAcentral
AGCGGGAUAGAGCAGCGGCAGCUCGGGAGCCCCAUAAGCUCCAGGCCGGGGGUUCGAGUCCCUCUCCCGCAACCA